GAUUAGCGAAUACUGAACCACCACCAAAUCGGAGAGAAAGAUAAUCGUCUCUGUGUGUGUCAAUGGCGGCCUUAAGCAUCUCACUCGCUUUCUCUGUUGAUUUUCUUAAACCAAGCCAAUCAACGAAGUUUGGUUUCUCUUCUUCCUCACCUAGAUAUCCAUUACUCUAUUCGUGUAGAUCUCACCGCUCCAAUCUCAGAUUCGCUUUCCCUCCUUCUUCGGUUUCGACAGCUACAGAAACUGGAGAAGAAGCUGCGAAAUCUACCGGAAGCUACGCGUUUCUAGAGGAAACGUUUCGAACUGGGAGGUUUUUGAGUAACGAUGAGUUAGAGAAGUUGAAAACUCUUGAAGGAUUUGCGUAUUUUCAGGAGCUUGAAUCUGGAUCGAUGUGGGUUCGAGUUAUGAGACAUGAAGAGAUGGAUUCAACGGUGCAUCUAUUGGCUGAGUCAUUUGGUGAAUCGAUGUUAUUGCCUUCUGGUUAUCAGUCUGUGUUACGGUUUUUGGUUAAGCAGUAUUUGAUUGAGAGGAGAGAAGUGUUGCCACACGCAGUUACUUUAGUUGGGUUCUUUAGGAAAAAAGUUGAUGGGUUUAGUGAUGAUGGAGAGGAGGAGGCUGAGAUGGCUGGAACUGUUGAGGUUUGUUUGGAUAAACGAGGCACUAAUGCUUCGCCUCCUUCUCCAACUCCUCCUAAGGAAUCACCUUAUAUUUGCAACAUGACUGUGAAAGAGGAUCUUAGAAGGAGGGGAAUUGGGUGGCAUUUGUUGAAGGCGAGUGAGGAAUUGAUAUCUCAGAUUAGUCCAUCAAAAGAUGUCUACUUGCAUUGUAGGAUGGUGGAUGAGGCUCCUUUCAAUAUGUACAAGAAAGCAGGAUACGAGGUUGUUAAGACAGAUACUGUUUUGGUCCUUUUGAUGUUACAACGGCGUAAACAUUUGAUGCGCAAGAAGCUUCCACUAUGCACCACCCCUACAGUAGAAAUGGUGGGGUCUGAUAAUGAGCUGACCUCCUCUGCAAAUGUGUAAACAUGGGAGCUAAAUGUGACAUGACCAAGGGUACGUGUUGAUAAUCCCGUUUGCUUCAACCUAUUGUUUAUAUGAUCUUAGUAGAGGUUUCCAUUUUGCAUAUAUUCAUAUACUAGGAACCGGUGUUUUCCAUCUGCACAAUAGCCAAUCAAUGAUACCAGAUUUGGAUGGUCGAGUCUGCUCAAGAUAUCCACCUCCACACGAAAUUCUCUUUCUCCAUCAGCCUUUUUAAACGUAGGUAAAUCCAUCUUCUUGAUUGCAACAACCUUCAAAUAACAAGGGAUCAAGAUAAUAUGUAUCCUACUCUAAUAGCUCCUCUUCCAUAGAAAAGUGUUUGUAACAUUACAAAGCCUGUAAAUCACAUAAAUGAAGCAAUAUAGUUCCUACCUCUCCUGUUUUUA
Arabidopsis lyrata subsp. lyrata is the source of this 1420-nucleotide RNA transcript. RefSeq lists it as uncharacterized. NCBI's taxonomy places the organism in Eukaryota, Viridiplantae, Streptophyta, Magnoliopsida, Brassicales, Brassicaceae. The transcript has 4 exons. The record is from RefSeq and is a predicted model, not a curated record.